RNAcentral lists this ribosomal RNA (434 nucleotides) under uncultured bacterium. RNAcentral describes it as "partial 16S ribosomal RNA". It matches the Rfam family "Bacterial small subunit ribosomal RNA", at positions 29 to 507 of the family's 1533-position model. The record is from RNAcentral.
AGCGAACGCUGGCGGCAGGCCUAACACAUGCAAGUCGAACGAACCUUCCGGGGUUAGUGGCGGACGGGUGAGUAACACGUGGGAACGUGCACUUAGGUACGGUAUAAUUCAGUGAAACUUGUGUUAAUACCACAGGUGCCCUUAGCGGGUAAGAGCUAUCGCGUUUAGAGCGGCCGCCGUCUGGUUAGGUAGUUGGUUGUGGUAAUGGCUCAUCACGGCGAGGUUCAGUAGCUGGUGUGAUCGGAUGAUCAGCCACAUUGGGACUGAGACACGGCCUAAACUCGUACGGAAAGCUGCAGUGGGGAAUCUUGCGGAAUGGGCGAAAGCGUGACACAGCCAUGCCGCGUAAAAGAUGAAUGUCGUAGGAUUGUAAAUUUCUUUCAGCGGGGGCGAUAAUGACGGUACCCGGUAAAGAAGCCCCGGCUAACUUCGUG